This 71-nucleotide transfer RNA is filed under the name Exutisphaerella laricina CBS 326.52. RNAcentral's name for it is "tRNA-Thr (GGT) (tRNA-Thr-GGT-2-1)". It matches the Rfam family "tRNA". From Rfam's summary of the family: Transfer RNA (tRNA) molecules are approximately 80 nucleotides in length. Their secondary structure includes four short double-helical elements and three loops (D, anti-codon, and T loops). The record is from RNAcentral. Lineage: Eukaryota; Fungi; Ascomycota; Dothideomycetes; Mycosphaerellales; Mycosphaerellaceae.
GGCGAGGUGGUGUAGUGGUAGCACACGUGAGGGGUGCUCACGAGAGGGAUGUUCGAUUCAUUCUCUCGCCA